RNAcentral lists this ribosomal RNA (2209 nucleotides) under Vibrio harveyi 1DA3. RNAcentral's name for it is "bacterial LSU rRNA". It matches the Rfam family "Bacterial large subunit ribosomal RNA", at positions 734 to 2925 of the family's 2925-position model. Lineage: Bacteria; Pseudomonadati; Pseudomonadota; Gammaproteobacteria; Vibrionales; Vibrionaceae. The record is from RNAcentral.
CCAUGGGCAGGUUGAAGAUUGAGUAACAUCAAUUGGAGGACCGAACCGACUAAUGUUGAAAAAUUAGCGGAUGACUUGUGGCUAGGGGUGAAAGGCCAAUCAAACCUGGAGAUAGCUGGUUCUCCCCGAAAGCUAUUUAGGUAGCGCCUCGGACGAAUACUACUGGGGGUAGAGCACUGUUAAGGCUAGGGGGUCAUCCCGACUUACCAACCCUUUGCAAACUCCGAAUACCAGUAAGUACUAUCCGGGAGACACACGGCGGGUGCUAACGUCCGUCGUGGAGAGGGAAACAACCCAGACCGCCAGCUAAGGUCCCAAAUUACUACUAAGUGGGAAACGAUGUGGGAAGGCUCAGACAGCCAGGAUGUUGGCUUAGAAGCAGCCAUCAUUUAAAGAAAGCGUAAUAGCUCACUGGUCGAGUCGGCCUGCGCGGAAGAUGUAACGGGGCUAAGUAGUAAACCGAAGCUGCGGCAAUGCACUUUGUGCAUUGGGUAGGGGAGCGUUCUGUAAGCGGUUGAAGGUGUGUGGUAACGCAUGCUGGACGUAUCAGAAGUGCGAAUGCUGACAUGAGUAACGAUAAAGGGGGUGAAAAACCUCCUCGCCGGAAGACCAAGGGUUCCUGUCCAACGUUAAUCGGGGCAGGGUAAGUCGACCCCUAAGGCGAGGCCGAAAGGCGUAGUCGAUGGGAAACGGGUUAAUAUUCCCGUACUUCUUACAAUUGCGAUGGGGGGACGGAGAAGGCUAGGUGGGCCUGGCGACGGUUGUCCAGGUUCAAGUGCGUAGGCUGAGAAAUUAGGUAAAUCCGGUUUCUCUUAAGGCUGAGACACGACGUCGAGCUACUACGGUAGUGAAGUCAUUGAUGCCAUGCUUCCAGGAAAAGCCUCUAAGCUUCAGAUUGUAAGGAAUCGUACCCCAAACCGACACAGGUGGUCGGGUAGAGAAUACCAAGGCGCUUGAGAGAACUCGGGUGAAGGAACUAGGCAAAAUGGUACCGUAACUUCGGGAGAAGGUACGCUCUUGAUGGUGAAGUCCCUUGCGGAUGGAGCUGACGAGAGUCGCAGAUACCAGGUGGCUGCAACUGUUUAUUAAAAACACAGCACUGUGCAAAAUCGUAAGAUGACGUAUACGGUGUGACGCCUGCCCGGUGCCGGAAGGUUAAUUGAUGGGGUUAGACUUCGGUCGAAGCUCUUGAUCGAAGCCCCGGUAAACGGCGGCCGUAACUAUAACGGUCCUAAGGUAGCGAAAUUCCUUGUCGGGUAAGUUCCGACCUGCACGAAUGGCGUAAUGAUGGCCACGCUGUCUCCACCCGAGACUCAGUGAAAUUGAAAUCGCUGUGAAGAUGCAGUGUACCCGCGGCUAGACGGAAAGACCCCGUGAACCUUUACUACAGCUUGGCACUGAACAUUGACCCUACAUGUGUAGGAUAGGUGGGAGGCUUUGAAGCAAGUACGCCAGUAUUUGUGGAGCCGUCCUUGAAAUACCACCCUUGUAGUGUUGAUGUUCUAACGUUGACCCCUUAUCGGGGUUGCGGACAGUGCCUGGUGGGUAGUUUGACUGGGGCGGUCUCCUCCCAAAGAGUAACGGAGGAGCACGAAGGUGGGCUAAUCACGGUUGGACAUCGUGAGGUUAGUGCAAUGGCAUAAGCCCGCUUGACUGCGAGAAUGACAAUUCGAGCAGGUGCGAAAGCAGGUCAUAGUGAUCCGGUGGUUCUGAAUGGAAGGGCCAUCGCUCAACGGAUAAAAGGUACUCCGGGGAUAACAGGCUGAUACCGCCCAAGAGUUCAUAUCGACGGCGGUGUUUGGCACCUCGAUGUCGGCUCAUCACAUCCUGGGGCUGAAGUCGGUCCCAAGGGUAUGGCUGUUCGCCAUUUAAAGUGGUACGCGAGCUGGGUUUAGAACGUCGUGAGACAGUUCGGUCCCUAUCUGCCGUGGGCGUUGGAAGAUUGAAGGGGGCUGCUCCUAGUACGAGAGGACCGGAGUGGACGAACCUCUGGUGUUCGGGUUGUGUCGCCAGACGCAUUGCCCGGUAGCUAAGUUCGGAAUCGAUAACCGCUGAAAGCAUCUAAGCGGGAAGCGAGCCCUGAGAUGAGUCUUCCCUGAUACUUUAAGUAUCCUAAAGGGUUGUUCGAGACUAGAACGUUGAUAGGCAGGGUGUGUAAGCGUUGUGAGGCGUUGAGCUAACCUGUACUAAUUGCCCGUGAGGCUUAACC